AUGCAGUCGAACGAUGAUGCCCAGCUUGCUGGGCGGAUUAGUGGCGAACGGGUGAGUAAUACGUGAGUAACCUGCCCUUGACUCUGGGAUAAGCCUGGGAAACUGGGUCUAAUACUGGAUACUACCUCUUGCCGCAUGGUGGGUGGUGGAAAGGGUUUUACUGGUUUUGGAUGGGCUCACGGCCUAUCAGCUUGUUGGUGGGGUAAUGGCUCACCAAGGCGACGACGGGUAGCCGGCCUGAGAGGGUGACCGGCCACACUGGGACUGAGACACGGCCCAGACUCCUACGGGAGGCAGCAGUGGGGAAUAUUGCACAAUGGGCGGAAGCCUGAUGCAGCGACGCCGCGUGAGGGAUGACGGCCUUCGGGUUGUAAACCUCUUUCAGUAGGGAAGAAGCGAGAGUGACGGUACCUGCAGAAGAAGCGCCGGCUAACUACGUGCCAGCAGCCGCGGUAAUACGUAGGGCGCAAGCGUUGUCCGGAAUUAUUGGGCGUAAAGAGCUCGUAGGCGGUUUGUCGCGUCUGCUGUGAAAGCCCGGGGCUCAACCCCGGGUCUGCAGUGGGUACGGGCAGACUAGAGUGCAGUAGGGGAGACUGGAAUUCCUGGUGUAGCGGUGAAAUGCGCAGAUAUCAGGAGGAACACCGAUGGCGAAGGCAGGUCUCUGGGCUGUUACUGACGCUGAGGAGCGAAAGCAUGGGGAG
Molecule: ribosomal RNA, 701 nt
Filed under: Kocuria rosea
Lineage: Bacteria; Bacillati; Actinomycetota; Actinomycetes; Micrococcales; Micrococcaceae
Description: bacterial SSU rRNA
Rfam family: Bacterial small subunit ribosomal RNA
Source: RNAcentral